RNAcentral lists this long non-coding RNA (1136 nucleotides) under Homo sapiens (human). Its description in RNAcentral is "HSALNT0291368". The record is from RNAcentral. Lineage: Eukaryota; Metazoa; Chordata; Mammalia; Primates; Hominidae.
CUUGGAAGAGUCCUGCGGCGGUGGCGGCGGCUGCUGCUGCUGAUGCGGCUGUGGAUGCGGCGGCGGCUGAUGCGGUGGCGGGAUCGGAGGCUUAGGGCCGCUCUGGCCCGGGCCAGGACCCAUGGGGCCGCGAUUCUGAUUGAGGCCCAUGCCGGGCGGCGGAGAACGGAAGUCGUGGAGGCCGCCGCGGCCGCCGCCUCCUCCACGCCUGUGGAAGCCACCACCGCCACCGCCACGACUCCGGAACCGAUCCCGAGACAUGUCUGUGGUCAAGGGGCGGUCGAGGCAAAAGCGAAGAAGACGCUCAGGAAACGUGGAGGCCACCUUGCUUCUCACAAAAUGGCGGAUGACACAGGCGGCGCGCCGCCUUUGUCCUCGUCUUAUAUAGGCCAGCUGGCACGGCCCCGCCUACUCCACGAUCGACAGCUCCAAUAGCCAAUUGCAAUUACUAUGCUUGAUGACACUAAGUUGCGAACCUCUGAUCAUUCCUAUUGGCCCCUGGGUGAGAGGCGGGAGGCAUGGGGGGACUGAAGUUUCCAGUUGGCCAGUGAGCGAAGAAGGCGUUGGCUGUAGGCCACUAUGAUUUGCUAGGAGAAAUUUGAAUGGGUAUGCCAGGGCAAUUUUCACUUGCGAGCAAAUAACCAGGGCUCUAUCCGCUCCUGCAGAGAAGCGUUGGAGGUCUCUUUUCUUUCUUGAUUGUCCCUAGGAGCAAUCUACUGAUAUCCUUGCCCAGAAAAACAGAUGUUUUCCGAUUCAAAAUCAGAAAUUGAGUGCCUGCUGUCUACCCUACCUCGUGCCAACUCAAUGAAAGUAGAGAAGUAAAAUCUUACCGAUUUCAAACAUACGCAGUCUUAACUGAUUUCAUUAUGGAACCUCAUAGGAAUACAGAUUUAUUGUAGCAGCAUAAACUUUUCAAUAGGCUUCUGUGGGUGCGCGCUUUGUUCAAAAAGAGCCCUUGUGUGUAUGUGUGUAUAUAUACACGUUUACAAACACCAAUCACAGGAGGAAUGUAAAUAUUCCACUCAACACUUUACGAACAGACUAAGGUACUUUUAAAAAAUUACAAUGUUAGGCUGGGCACUGUGGCUCACGCCUGUAAUCCUAGCACUUUGGGACACCGAGUCGGGCAGAUCACC